Molecule: ribosomal RNA, 221 nt
Filed under: uncultured bacterium
Lineage: Bacteria
Description: partial 16S ribosomal RNA
Rfam family: Bacterial small subunit ribosomal RNA
Source: RNAcentral
UAACGCGUGGGUAACCUGCCUCAUACAGGGGGAUAACAGUUGGAAACGGCUGCUAAUACCGCAUAAUGUCUACGGACCAAAGCAGGGGCUCUUCGGACCUUGCACUAUCGGAUGAACCCAUAUGGGAUUAGCUAGUAGGUGGGGUAAAGGCUCACCUAGGCGACGAUCUCUAGCUGGUCUGAGAGGAUGAUCAGCCACACUGGGACUGAGACACGGCCCAG